RNAcentral lists this ribosomal RNA (424 nucleotides) under uncultured bacterium. RNAcentral describes it as "bacterial SSU rRNA". It matches the Rfam family "Bacterial small subunit ribosomal RNA", at positions 356 to 773 of the family's 1533-position model. The record is from RNAcentral.
AGGGAAUCUUCCGCAAUGGACGAAAGUCUGACGGAGCAACGCCGCGUGAGUGAUGAAGGUUUUCGGAUCGUAAAGCUCUGUUGCCAGGGAAGAACGUCUUAGAGAGUAACUGCUCUAAGAGUGACGGUACCUGAGAAGAAAGCCCCGGCUAACUACGUGCCAGCAGCCGCGGUAAUACGUAGGGGGCGAGCGUUGUCCGGAAUUAUUGGGCGUAAAGCGCGCGCAGGCGGCUGUUUAAGUCGUGUGUUUAAUCCUGGGGCUCAACCCCGGGUCGCACUGGAAACUGGACGGCUUGAGUGCAGAAGAGGAGAGUGGAAUUCCACGUGUAGCGGUGAAAUGCGUAGAGAUGUGGAGGAACACCAGUGGCGAAGGCGACUCUCUGGGCUGUAACUGACGCUGAGGCGCGAAAGCGUGGGGAGCAAAC